AUAAUAGUAUAUUUAGUACAAGUUAUGUAUGCAUUUCGGGAAAAUCACAAAUGUAUAUGAUUAGCCAAUGUUUGCGGUGUGACGGUCGUGUCUCGUUACAAUGCUAAUGAAAUUUCAAGAUGUUUUACGUCACACGUACGAUAUGGACACAAAAGAUAUUUACGCAGGUAUACGAGAGUCAAAGACGCAUAAACGCGCGUAUUCGUAUACGCGUCUUUUCAAAUGAUUUACGCGUUAUGUGGCGCGACCGGAGCAACGUUUAUACCUUACCAAGGGCCGUAGACAAAAUAUCAGCGGUAAAUGGAUGAUACUCGGAAUCCGCUGUUUAACUCGUGGAAAUUGAAGCUGAUAACCGUACAGUU
Molecule: unclassified non-coding RNA, 362 nt
Filed under: Bombus terrestris (buff-tailed bumblebee)
Lineage: Eukaryota; Metazoa; Arthropoda; Insecta; Hymenoptera; Apidae
Description: misc RNA ENSBTSG00005037735.1
Source: RNAcentral